CAUGCAGUCGAGCGGCAGCGACACAUUGACCCUUUGGGGGAUUUGUUGGGCGGCGAGUGGUGGACGGGUGAGUAAUGCCUGGGAACAUGCCUUAGUGUGGGGGAUAACCAUUGGAAACGAUGGCUAAUACCGCAUAAUCUCUACGGAGCAAAGAGGGGGACCUUCGGGCCUCUCGCGCUAAGAUUGGCCCAGGUGGGAUUAGCUAGUAGGUGGGGUAACGGCUCACCUAGGCGACGAUCCCUAGCUGGUCUGAGAGGAUGAUCAGCCACACUGGAACUGAGACACGGUCCAGACUCCUACGGGAGGCAGCAGUGGGGAAUAUUGCACAAUGGGGGAAACCCUGAUGCAGCCAUGCCGCGUGUGUGAAGAAGGCCUUCGGGUUGUAAAGCACUUUCAGCAGUGAGGAAGGCGGUAUCGUUAAUAGCGGUAUUGUUUGACGUUAGCUGCAGAAGAAGCACCGGCUAACUCCGUGCCAGCAGCCGCGGUAAUACGGAGGGUGCGAGCGUUAAUCGGAAUUACUGGGCGUAAAGCGCAUGCAGGCGGCUUGUUAAGCCAGAUGUGAAAGCCCGGGGCUCAACCUCGGAAUCGCAUUUGGAACUGGCAGGCUAGAGUCUUGUAGAGGGGGGUAGAAUUUCAGGUGUAGCGGUGAAAUGCGUAGAGAUCUGAAGGAAUACCGGUGGCGAAAGGCGGCCCCCUGGACAGAGACUGACGCUCAGAUGCGAAAGCGUGGGGAGCAAACAGGAUUAGAUACCCUGGUAGUCACGCCGUAAACGAUGUCUACUUGGAGUUGGUGUCUUGAACACUGGCUUUCGGAGCUAACGCGUUUAAGUAGAACCGCCUG
Molecule: ribosomal RNA, 841 nt
Filed under: uncultured bacterium
Lineage: Bacteria
Description: bacterial SSU rRNA
Rfam family: Bacterial small subunit ribosomal RNA
Source: RNAcentral